CCUANGGGGGGCAGCAGUCGAGAAUUUUUCUCAAUGGGCGAAAGCCUGAAGGAGCGACGCCGCGUGGGGGAUGAAUGGCUUCGGCCCGUAAACCCCUGUCAUUUGCGAGCAAACCCUCUUACCUAAUACGUGAGAGGUUGAUAGUAGCGAAAGAGGAAGGGACGGCUAACUCUGUGCCAGCAGCCGCGGUAAUACAGAGGUCCCAAGCGUUGUUCGGAUUCACUGGGCGUAAAGGGUGCGUAGGUGGUGGUGGAAGUUUGAUGUGAAAGCUCCGAGCUUAACUCGGAAAAUGCAUUAAAUACUCUACUGCUAGAGGAUUGGAGGGGAGACUGGAAUUCUCGGUGUAGCGGUGAAAUGCGUAGAUAUCGAGAGGAACACCAGUGGCGAAAGCGAGUCUCUGGACAACUCCUGACACUGAGGCACGAAAGCUAGGGGAGCAAACAGGAUUAGAUACCACANUANUC
Molecule: ribosomal RNA, 464 nt
Filed under: uncultured bacterium
Lineage: Bacteria
Description: bacterial SSU rRNA
Rfam family: Bacterial small subunit ribosomal RNA
Source: RNAcentral